Molecule: ribosomal RNA, 450 nt
Filed under: uncultured soil bacterium
Lineage: Bacteria
Description: bacterial SSU rRNA
Rfam family: Bacterial small subunit ribosomal RNA
Source: RNAcentral
UAGUGAUUAACGCGAAGAACCUUACCCAGGCUUGAACAGCGAGUGACCAUUCCCGAAAGGGAACUUCCGCAAGGACACUCGUAGAGGUGCUGCAUGGCUGUCGUCAGCUCGUGUCGUGAGAUGUUGGGUUAAGUCCCGCAACGAGCGCAACCCUUGUUUGCUGUUGCCAUCAGGUUAAGCUGGGCACUCUGCAAAGACUGCCGGUGAUAAACCGGAGGAAGGUGGGGAUGACGUCAAGUCAGCAUGGCCUUUAUGUCUGGGGCUACACACGUGCUACAAUGGCCGGUACAAACCGUCGCGAUACCGCAAGGUGGAGCUAAUCGGAGAAAGCCGGUCUCAGUUCGGAUCGUAGGCUGCAACUCGCCUGCGUGAAGUUGGAAUCGCUAGUAAUCGCGGAUCAGCACGCCGCGGUGAAUACGUUCCCGGGCCUUGUCACACCGAAUCGAAUUC